Molecule: ribosomal RNA, 253 nt
Filed under: uncultured bacterium
Lineage: Bacteria
Description: partial 16S ribosomal RNA
Rfam family: Bacterial small subunit ribosomal RNA
Source: RNAcentral
UACGUAGGGGGCAAGCGUUGUCCGGAUUUAUUGGGCGUAAAGAGCGUGUAGGCGGCUUGGUAGGUCCGCUGUGAAAACUCGAGGCUCAACCUCGAGAUGUCGGCGGAAACCACUUGGCUAGAGUCCGGAAGAGGAGAGUGGAAUUCCCGGUGUAGCGGUGAAAUGCGCAGAUAUCGGGAAGAACACCGGUGGCGAAGGCGGUUCUCUGGGCAUUACCUGACGCUGAGGAGCGAAAGCAUGGGGAGCGAACAGG